UCUGUCUCUAAUUAUCUACAUUUUGCAAGAGCUUCUUUCUUCUAGGCCAAAAGAGGAGCUGAGUUUUUGAAGACACUGUAGUUUAAUUCAUGGCGGUAAAUUGAUGCUUUGGUUCAAGAUUAUCAUGGGUGGAUGCAAGUCUGCAUUUGCGUGUUCUCUUCUGCUACAUCAGGAAAAGCGUGUGAAUCUAAGCUUGUGAAUCUGCUGU
Molecule: long non-coding RNA, 208 nt
Filed under: Helianthus annuus (common sunflower)
Lineage: Eukaryota; Viridiplantae; Streptophyta; Magnoliopsida; Asterales; Asteraceae
Description: hypothetical non coding rna
Source: RNAcentral